Poecilia latipinna (sailfin molly) is the source of this 1415-nucleotide long non-coding RNA. RefSeq lists it as uncharacterized. The transcript has 2 exons. Lineage: Eukaryota; Metazoa; Chordata; Actinopteri; Cyprinodontiformes; Poeciliidae. The record is from RefSeq and is a predicted model, not a curated record.
AGUCAUAUUUGAUAUAUACAGCAUAAUUAUAACAACUGAAGGUAACAGUUAUUUGAUUGUGCUACAAAGUGAUACUACGUGGCUGGGAAACAUAAUUCUGCCCUUUAAAAGUAAAAACUGAUCCAGUCUGGAUGGUUACUGUAGACAGACUUGUUCCAUAAACAGAAACAUUCAAUUUUUUUUUUUUGUUUGUUUUGUUAAAAAUCUCUGAUCUUCUGAAAUUAAUGAGACGUUUAAUUAAAGGUAAAACAAGGAGAAGUAGCUCCCCGCUGUGAGGGCUGAACUGUGUGCAGGUAUGUCAGAUAUGGGGGCGAGAAUUUACAGCAGCGUGAACAGUAAAUGAGCGCGGCCUUCCCUCCCACAGCUUGCAGGAAUGAGCUCAUAAUGACAGAGAGUAACAGCCUGAACUCUCUCUGCUCCGCCGCCGAGCUUACGGCCGGUGGGCGGGGCGUCACUGACAUGGCGACCGACGCUGGAGGAGGAUUUAGGGAACCCUGGUGGAGAGAAGCGUGUUCUGUGGAGUCCGUGGCAGGGUAACGACGGGGAAUUUACGUCAGCAUCAAAAGAAUGGGCUGUGCCAUCUGUCCGUGGCUUUGUGUUGUGUGUUGCUGUCGUAAAGGGUGAUUUGCGGACCACACUCCCGUUCCAGUCCGCGGGACAUCAAUCGCUUAUAUCCCCUCCCCCCGUUUUGUAAACGCCGUCAGCCGUGCAGUACCCGACUUCAUCGCUUUAACUCUCACAGAUCUCAGGAAGCACAUGGGCAUGUCAGGCUCUGAGACGGUGAGAAUCCACACCGGCCCAUGCACACACAGCACCAGCAUGAACAUGGAAAAAGAAACGCUGGAGAAACAGAAUCUGCCUGCAAGAAAAAAAUAUAAUAACAUACAUAAUCAAAGGGAACAAUGAGAAUGACGAUAAACAAAUGAACAAAGUGAUUCAGGCCCAAUGCUGUCAGAAGGCAUAAUGAAACUUCAGCCUGGAGGAUUCAUUAGAGAGAAUUGAUGCUAAGUGAACGUCACCUCGCAUGGAGCCUUAGGAGAGGCGGGAGGGAGCGGGAAGAGCCCAGAGAGGAAGAAAUCAGUCCAACAUUGUCCACACGCUUAAACCCAACCAGGACAGGCUCGUCCAAACAAACCGUCAUGCUGCAGCAGCCUUGUUAGAGCUACAGCCGCCCCCUCUCCACACCUACUCGCCAACCCGGCUCUGCCACCAUCUGCCUGGGCGGAUCAGAGGAGCAGCAGCUCUAGGUUGACUACAUCUACGCUGCACCGUAACUUCAUGUAACACAGAGGCAUGGAUUCCUGCUACAAUGUGACACAGAAUGAUGUAGGGGUGGGAAUUUAUCGCAUUAUCGUUUAUCAUUUAUUGUGAUACAUUUAUUGUCACAUUAAAUUCCAACUAAUGUUUUUAAAAAA